ACAUCACGUUGAAAUACCGGUUCCGGUAGGAUCACCGAAGUUAAACAAUGUCGGGCCUGGUCAGUACCUAGAUGGGUGACUGCUUGGGAAUAUCAGGUGCCGUAAG
This is a non-coding RNA of Acanthosepion pharaonis, 106 nucleotides long. Lineage: Eukaryota; Metazoa; Mollusca; Cephalopoda; Sepiida; Sepiidae. The record is from the annotation of a GenBank genome assembly.